Molecule: long non-coding RNA, 1150 nt
Filed under: Bos indicus x Bos taurus (hybrid cattle)
Lineage: Eukaryota; Metazoa; Chordata; Mammalia; Artiodactyla; Bovidae
Description: lncRNA (ENSBIXG00005024992.1)
Source: RNAcentral
CCCAAGCUACCCAGAUUCAUACUGUUCAUGGGUUCUCAAAGCAAGAAUUCUGAAGUGGUUUGCCAUUCCCAUCAUCCAGGAUGAGAUGGUUGGAUGACAUCACCGACUUGAUGGACAUGAGUUUGAGCAAGCUCCGGGAGUUGGUGAAGGACAGGGAAGCCUGAUGUGCUGCAGUCCAUGGGGUUGCAGAGUCGGGUACAACUGAGUGACUGAACUAACUGACUGACCCAGAUUCAAUUCCUGGGCAGGGAACUAAGAUCUCUCUUUAGGACCGUUCACCGCUGUCUCUCUGAGAUCAAAAUCAUCAGUUUAGAUGGGUACUCAGAUAUUUCAGGUAAAAAACAAAAAACAGUCAACUUUUGAGUAUGCCACCUAAUAUCUGCCCUCACUAGAUACACCGUGUUCGGGCCUCAUCCUUCUGUUAGGUUUUUUUCGUCGCUAUGGGCAACUGGAUCAUGUAGCCCAAAUAUUAAGUGAAUUUCUUAACACAAAUGAUGCACUUUGGAGGUAACCUUUGAGGACUAAACAGAGAAGGACUAAGCUGGGUUAAUUCUGGGCAGAGAGAAGCACGUGUUUUGUGAAGCCAUUCCUGCCUUCUGGAAGGUGACCCUUUUAUUCCCGCUCUACUUUGCACCAAGAUUCCAAGAACCAGGUCUAAAAGGAGAAUGUGGAUUCUGGCUUCCAUGUUCAGGUGACUUUGAGUUUGGGAGAAGACCCAGAAAGAGCCAUGGGAAGUGCAGAAAGUGGGAACUGCUCCUGCUUACCUGGCCAGCUAAGAUGUCCUACUACGGUUAAGACCGAAAUCGCUCAGCAGCCACACGUUUCAAAUUGAGAUGUUUCUACAGAGCUAUGCUGAAGCCCAAUGAGGCACCGGCUUGCAUCUAGAAGUCACUUCUGCAUAUCCUGGGAACACAGAAAUGGUUGGCUGCCAGAGGUGGCAGCACCAACACAGGACUGCUGUCCAGAUCCCGUAACCUGGGACUUGAGAAAUUCCAUCAUGGGCACUCAAGCUUGGUAAACAGCUCCAGCUUUGGAGGCAACAAGGGCAGGUUUGAGUCCCAUAUCUGCCCUUAGCUGUGUGACCUUGAGCAAACCAUUUAAGCUCUUUUGAGUCUGUUUCUUUACCCAUAAUAAUAGUCCCUACAAUAAG